AGAGUUUGAUCCUGGCUCAGGAUGAACGCUGGCGGCGUGCUUAACACAUGCAAGUCGAACGAAGCAUUUUGGAAGAAGUCUUCGGACGGAUUUUGGGAUCUGAGUGGCGGACGGGUGAGUAACGCGUGGGCAACCUGCCCUGUACAGGGGGAUAACAGCUGGAAACGGCUGCUAAUACCGCAUAAGCGCACAGGACCGCAUGGUCCGGUGUGAAAAACUCCGGUGGUACAGGAUGGGCCCGCGUCUGAUUAGGCAGUUGGCGGGGUGACGGCCCACCAAACCGACGAUCAGUAGCCGACCUGAGAGGGUGACCGGCCACAUUGGGACUGAGACACGGCCCAAACUCCUACGGGAGGCAGCAGUGGGGAAUAUUGCACAAUGGGCGCAGGCCUGAUGCAGCGACGCCGCGUGAGCGAAGAAGUAUUUCGGUAUGUAAAGCUCUGUCAGCAGGGAAGAAAACGACGGUACCUGCACAAGAAGCUCCGGCUAAAUACGUGCCAGCAGCCGCGGUAAUACGUAUGGAGCAAGCGUUAUCCGGAAUUACUGGGUGUAAAGGGAGCGUAGACGGCAUGGCAAGUCUGGUGUGAAAGACCGGGGCUCAACUCCGGGCCUGCAUUGGAAACUGUCAAGCUUGAGUGCCGGAGAGGUAAGCGGAAUUCCUAGUGUAGCGGUGAAAUGCGUAGAUAUUAGGAGGAACACCAGUGGCGAAGGCGGCUUACUGAACGGUAACUGACGUUGAGGCUCGAAGGCGUGGGGAGCAAACAGGAUUAGAUACCCUGGUAGUCCACGCAGUAAACGAU
Molecule: ribosomal RNA, 800 nt
Filed under: uncultured bacterium
Lineage: Bacteria
Description: bacterial SSU rRNA
Rfam family: Bacterial small subunit ribosomal RNA
Source: RNAcentral